UCAAAGCCGGCCUCGUGGCUGAGGUCAUGGCCGCUUCCUCGGGUGUGCAAGCCGGGGUCCCGGUUCAGGCCUUUGCUGAUGGCAAGGCUGCAGGGGCGGGCGGACGGGCCUUUGCCACAGUGCUGCAACACCUCGGAGGCGGAGGCGUUUCUGUGGCGUCGGCGGCGCAGGUGCCAAGGCGCGCUUCGGGGAGUGGACGGACCCCUGGCCUGACAUAGGGGAGCUGGCCGGAAGGCGGGUGAAACCCUCAGACGAGGAGAAGGA
Long non-coding RNA from Ochotona princeps (American pika), 264 nucleotides. RefSeq lists it as uncharacterized. The record is from RefSeq and is a predicted model, not a curated record. Lineage: Eukaryota; Metazoa; Chordata; Mammalia; Lagomorpha; Ochotonidae. The transcript has 3 exons.